CGAAAGGUUAUUUAUGUUGCGUUUCUCCCGACCUUACCCUGGCCUAGAUGACACCCGUGAGUGGGGAGGGAAUGAUCAUUAUUACAGGUACAGGUACUUGUUGGUGACUUGUUGGUGACUUAUUGGUGACUUGUGAUCCUGUUGGUGACUAUUGGUUCAGAAUUUUGGGGUCUCAGAUGACUUUGGGUUUCAGAUGAAUUUGUGGUUCCGAGUUCAAGCCGAAGCUUUGAUCCUGUGUUCUGAGAGACACGGCCAACCAGUCGUGUCUGCAUCAUUUGCAUCAUAGCAUGUUUAUUUUUCAAAAGAAACGCAAUAAAAAAA
RNAcentral lists this long non-coding RNA (321 nucleotides) under Lathyrus oleraceus (garden pea). RNAcentral describes it as "Pisum sativum (pea) long non-coding RNA (PSAT_LNC041138)". Lineage: Eukaryota; Viridiplantae; Streptophyta; Magnoliopsida; Fabales; Fabaceae. The record is from RNAcentral.